UGAGGAAUAUUGGUCAAUGGGCGAGAGCCUGAACCAGCCAAGUAGCGUGAAGGAAGACUGCCCUACGGGUUGUAAACUUCUUUUGUUUGGGAAUAAAGUGCGUCACGUGUGGCGUUUUGUAUGUACCAUUCGAAUAAGCAUCGGCUAAUUCCGUGCCAGCAGCCGCGGUAAUACGGAAGAUGCGAGCGUUAUCCGGAUUUAUUGGGUUUAAAGGGAGCGUAGGCGGGCUUUUAAGCCAGCUGUGAAAGUUUGCGGCUCAACCGUAAAAUUGCAGGUGGAACUGGGAGUCUUGAGUGUGCAUAAGGUGGAUGGAAUUCGUGGUGUAGCGGUGAAAUGCUUAGAUAUCACGAAGAACUCCGAUUGCGAAGGCAGUCCAAUGGGGCAAUACUGACGCUGAGGCUCGAAAGUGCGGGUAUCAAACAGG
Molecule: ribosomal RNA, 424 nt
Filed under: uncultured prokaryote
Also listed under: 1 other name
Description: bacterial SSU rRNA
Rfam family: Bacterial small subunit ribosomal RNA
Source: RNAcentral